UACGUAGGGAGCAAGCGUUGUCCGGAAUCAUUGGGCGUAAAGCGCGCGUAGGUGGCCACAUAAGUCCGUUGUGAAAGUCAAAGGCUCAACCUUUGAAAGCCGAUGGAUACUGUGUGGCUAGAGUACGGAAGAGGCGAGUGGAAUUCCUGGUGUAGCGGUGGAAUGCGCAGAUAUCAGGAGGAACACCAAUAGCGAAGGCAGCUCGCUGGGACGGUAUUGACGCUAAGGCGCGAAAGCGUGGGGAGCAAACAGG
Molecule: ribosomal RNA, 253 nt
Filed under: uncultured bacterium
Lineage: Bacteria
Description: partial 16S ribosomal RNA
Rfam family: Bacterial small subunit ribosomal RNA
Source: RNAcentral